UUCUGUGAAAUUUCGAUUAUC
This 21-nucleotide non-coding RNA is filed under the name Caenorhabditis elegans. Lineage: Eukaryota; Metazoa; Nematoda; Chromadorea; Rhabditida; Rhabditidae. The record is from RNAcentral.